UACAGAGGGUGCAAGCGUUGUUCGGAAUUACUGGGCGUAAAGCGCGUGUAGGCUGCGGAGUAAGUCGGAUGUGAAAUCCCUUGGCUUAACCAAGGAAGUGCAUCCGAUACUGUUUCGCUUGAGUGUCGGAGGGGAUGGCGGAAUUCCCGGUGUAGAGGUGAAAUUCGUAGAUAUCGGGAGGAACACCUGUGGCGAAGGCGGCCAUCUGGACGACAACUGACGCUGAGACGCGAAAGCGUGGGGAGCGAACAGG
Molecule: ribosomal RNA, 253 nt
Filed under: uncultured bacterium
Lineage: Bacteria
Description: partial 16S ribosomal RNA
Rfam family: Bacterial small subunit ribosomal RNA
Source: RNAcentral